AUGAACGCUGGCGGCGUGCCUAACACAUGCAAGUCGAACGGAGUCGUUUUGGAAAUCUCUUCGGAGAUGGAAUUCUCGACUUAGUGGCGGACGGGUGAGUAACGCGUGAGCAAUCUGCCUUUAAGAGGGGGAUAACAGUCGGAAACGGCUGCUAAUACCGCAUAAAGCAUUAAAUUCGCAUGUUUUUGAUGCCAAAGGAGCAAUCCGCUUUUAGAUGAGCUCGCGUCUGAUUAGCUAGUUGGCGGGGUAACGGCCCACCAAGGCGACGAUCAGUAGCCGGACUGAGAGGUUGAACGGCCACAUUGGGACUGAGACACGGCCCAGACUCCUACGGGAGGCAGCAGUGGGGAAUAUUGCGCAAGGGGGGAAACCCUGACGCAGCAACGCCGCGUGAUUGAAGAAGGCCUUCGGGUUGUAAAGAUCUUUAAUCAGGGACGAAACAAAUGACGGUACCUGAAGAAUAAGCUCCGGCUAACUACGUG
Molecule: ribosomal RNA, 482 nt
Filed under: uncultured bacterium
Lineage: Bacteria
Description: partial 16S ribosomal RNA
Rfam family: Bacterial small subunit ribosomal RNA
Source: RNAcentral